This 317-nucleotide ribosomal RNA is filed under the name uncultured Pseudomonadota bacterium. Its description in RNAcentral is "bacterial SSU rRNA". It matches the Rfam family "Bacterial small subunit ribosomal RNA", at positions 29 to 351 of the family's 1533-position model. Lineage: Bacteria; Pseudomonadati; Pseudomonadota. The record is from RNAcentral.
AAUGAACGUUGGCGGCGUGGAUUAGGCAUGCAAGUCGUACGCAUAGCUUCGGCUAUGAGUGGCGCAAGGGUGAGUAAUGCGAAGGUAACCAACCCUGGAGUUGGGCAUAACCGCGGGAAACUGCGGGUAAUUCCCAGCGAUGUCUCGAGAUGGCAUCAUCUUGAGACCAAAGGUGUGAUUCCGCUCUAGGACGGGCCUUCGUGGUAUUAGGUAGUUGGUGAGGUAACGGCUCACCAAGCCGACGAUGCCUACCGGGUGUGAGAGCAUGACCCGGCACACUGGAACUGAGACACUGUCCAGACACCUACGGGUGGCAG